Molecule: ribosomal RNA, 549 nt
Filed under: uncultured bacterium
Lineage: Bacteria
Description: partial 16S ribosomal RNA
Rfam family: Bacterial small subunit ribosomal RNA
Source: RNAcentral
UGGGAAUUUUGGACAAUGGGCGCAAGCCUGAUCCAGCCAUGCCGCGUGCAGGAAGAAGGCCUUCGGGUUGUAAACUGCUUUUGUCAGGGAAGAAAUCCUUUGGGUUAAUACCUCGAAGGGAUGACGGUACCUGAAGAAUAAGCACCGGCUAACUACGUGCCAGCAGCCGCGGUAAUACGUAGGGUGCGAGCGUUAAUCGGAAUUACUGGGCGUAAAGCGUGCGCAGGCGGCUUUGCAAGACAGAUGUGAAAUCCCCGGGCUCAACCUGGGAACUGCAUUUGUGACUGCAAGGCUAGAGUGCGGCAGAGGGAGAUGGAAUUCCGCGUGUAGCAGUGAAAUGCGUAGAUAUGCGGAGGAACACCGAUGGCGAAGGCAAUCUCCUGGGCCUGCACUGACGCUCAUGCACGAAAAGCGUGGGGAGCAAAACAGGAUUAGAUACCCUGGUAGUCCACGCCCUAAAANGAUGUCAACUGGUUGUUGGACGGCUUGCUGUUCAGUAACGAAGCUAAACGCGUGAAGUUGACCGCCUGGGGGAGUACGGCCGCAAGG